AUGAGUUAGGGUCUUCUAGGCCCGAUCUCCAACCCUUUGUAUAACUACCAUGUUGCUUUGGCGGGCCCGUCUUUAACCGGACCGUCGAGGGUUUUAAUUAAUCCUUGGCCAGUGCUCGUCAGUAGCCCACUUAAAUUCUUUUUAACCAUGUUAAAUCUGAAAAAUAGUUAAAUAAACUA
This 179-nucleotide unclassified non-coding RNA is filed under the name uncultured fungus. RNAcentral describes it as "sequence contains ITS1, 5.8S rRNA gene". Lineage: Eukaryota; Fungi. The record is from RNAcentral.